CUUGCUGCGGUUCGGUUCCCGAGUGGGGUCUGGAACCCGCCUCCCUCGUGGACCUUGACCUCCAGCGAACCUCGUCGCCACGUUUAGCUCUCCCUGACCUGAUUUUGAACCCGCUAAUCCCGUCCCGAACUCUCGCCCCGCGGCGAUCCCUCUCCCGGGCCUGGCGCGCUAAUUCCCGCUGACCCCGCGGCCCCGCCGCCUCUCCCAGCUCGCGCAGCUUUGAACCUCGGCGAGGGCUUCCGGCCUCUGAGCGAGGGCGUGAUCCCGCGCGCAAUCUGCACCUCCUGCGCGCAAUCUGCACAUCCCGCCUAGCCCCCAACCCAGCUUCAACACUCUCCACCCAAGCCAACAGCUUCUAACUACAAACAUUCCGCCCUCUCGCUUUCCCUAGGUUCAUUUGUAGUUCUGUGUCAUUCAUUUGUUUCCUUAAGAAACCUACCGGCCUCACAGAGAUCAAAAUCUUCCGUAACACGUUCAGCUGGCGACACUGUGAAGCUGCAGGCACUUUCGUCGUGGCUGGCCAACAACGAGGAGAUAGGAAGAAAAAGCAGGGAACGGUUCAUCUUGUGCAAGUGCCAAAGCGAAGACUGAAAAGGCUGGAAGAAAGCAGGCAGCG
Molecule: non-coding RNA, 616 nt
Organism: Ictidomys tridecemlineatus (thirteen-lined ground squirrel)
Lineage: Eukaryota; Metazoa; Chordata; Mammalia; Rodentia; Sciuridae
Source: Rfam